RNAcentral lists this ribosomal RNA (394 nucleotides) under uncultured soil bacterium. Its description in RNAcentral is "bacterial SSU rRNA". It matches the Rfam family "Bacterial small subunit ribosomal RNA", at positions 26 to 408 of the family's 1533-position model. The record is from RNAcentral.
AGAUUGAACGCUGGCGGCAGGCCUAACACAUGCAAGUCGAGCGGUAGAGAGGUGCUUGCAUCUCUUGAGAGCGGCGGACGGGUGAGUAAUGCCUAGGAAUCUGCCUAGUGGUGGGGGAUAACGUUCGGAAACGGACGCUAAUACCGCAUACGUCCUACGGGAGAAAGCGGGGGACCUUCGGGCCUCGCGCCAUUAGAUGAGCCUAGGUCGGAUUAGCUAGUUGGUGAGGUAAUGGCUCACCGAAGGCGACGAUCCGUAACUGGUCUGGAGAGGAUGAGUCAGUCACACUGGAACUGAGACACGGUCCAGACUCCGUACGGGAGGCUAGCGAGGUAGGGGAAUUAGUUAGGACAAGUGGGACAAAGCCUAGAUCCAGCCAUCGCCGUGUCGUAGU